This is a non-coding RNA of Felis catus (domestic cat), 85 nucleotides long. NCBI's taxonomy places the organism in Eukaryota, Metazoa, Chordata, Mammalia, Carnivora, Felidae. The record is from Rfam.
GCCUGGGUGGCUCAGUCGGUUGGGCGUCUGACUUCAGCUCAGGUCACGAUCUCGCGGUCCGUGAGUUCGAGCCCCGCGUCGGGCU